GACGAACGCUGGCGGCGUGCUUAACACAUGCAAGUCGAACGCACCUUCGGGUGAGUGGCGGACGGGUGAGUAACGCGUAGGUAAUCUACUCUUCAGUGGGGGAUACCCAGCCGAAAGGUUGGUUAAUACCGCAUACGCUCCUGUGCAGAGAGGUACAGGAGGAAAGGUUUACUGCUGAGGAAUGAGCCUGCGUCCGAUUAGCUAGUUGGUGGGGUAAAGGCUCACCAAGGCGACGAUCGGUAGCUGGUCUGAGAGGACGAUCAGCCACACUGGAACUGAGACACGGUCCAGACUCCUACGGGAGGCAGCAGUGGGAAUUUUCCGCAAUGGGCGAAAGCCUGACGGAGCAACGCCGCGUGGGUGAUGAAGUUUUUCGGAACGUAAAACCCUUUCGCCAGGGACGAAGCGAGUGACGGUACCUGGAGAAGAAGCAUCGGCUAACUACGUGCCAGCAGCCGCGGU
RNAcentral lists this ribosomal RNA (462 nucleotides) under uncultured bacterium. RNAcentral describes it as "bacterial SSU rRNA". It matches the Rfam family "Bacterial small subunit ribosomal RNA", at positions 28 to 521 of the family's 1533-position model. The record is from RNAcentral.